RNAcentral lists this ribosomal RNA (617 nucleotides) under uncultured bacterium. Its description in RNAcentral is "bacterial SSU rRNA". It matches the Rfam family "Bacterial small subunit ribosomal RNA", at positions 338 to 947 of the family's 1533-position model. The record is from RNAcentral.
CCUACGGGAGGCAGCAGUGGGGAAUUUUGGACAAUGGGGGCAACCCUGAUCCAGCAAUGCCGCGUGAGUGAAGAAGGCCUUCGGGUUGUAAAGCUCUUUUGUCAGGGAAGAAAAGGCUGUGGCUAAUAUCUACGGCUCAUGACGGUACCUGAAGAAUAAGCACCGGCUAACUACGUGCCAGCAGCCGCGGUAAUACGUAGGGUGCAAGCGUUAAUCGGAAUUACUGGGCGUAAAGCGUGCGCAGGCGGUUUUGUAAGACUGUCGUGAAAUCCCCGGGCUCAACCUGGGAAUGGCGAUGGUGACUGCAAGGCUAGAGUUUGGCAGAGGGGGGUAGAAUUCCACGUGUAGCAGUGAAAUGCGUAGAUAUGUGGAGGAACACCGAUGGCGAAGGCAGCCCCCUGGGUCAAAACUGACGCUCAUGCACGAAAGCGUGGGGAGCAAACAGGAUUAGAUACCCUGGUAGUCCACGCCCUAAACGAUGUCUACUAGUUGUCGGGUCUUAAUUGACUUGGUAACGCAGCUAACGCGUGAAGUAGACCGCCUGGGGAGUACGGUCGCAAGAUUAAAACUCAAAGGAAUUGACCGGNNGAGAGNGCGAGACGACGACGAGGGAGAGG